UGGAUCCAGACUUUGAUUAUGGCUCAGGAUGAACGCUAGCUACAGGCCUAACACAUGCAAGUCGAGGGGAAACGGCAGCUUAGCUUGCUAAGCUGGACGUCGACCGGCGCACGGGUGAGUAACGCGUAUCCAACCUGCCCCACGGUGAGGGAUAACCCGCGGAAACGCGGCCUAAUACCUCAUGGUCUCCGAGCUUGACAUCAACCUUGGAGUAAAGAUUCAUUGCCGUGGGAUGGGGAUGCGUCUGAUUAGCUUGUUGGCGGGGCAACGGCCCACCAAGGCAACGAUCAGUAGGGGUUCUGAGAGGAAAGCCCCCCACAUUGGAACUGAGACACGGUCCAAACUCCUACGGGAGGCAGCAGUGAGGAAUAUUGGUCAAUGGGCGAGAGCCUGAACCAGCCAAGUAGCGUGCAGGAAGACGGCCCUAUGGGUUGUAAACUGCUUUUAUGCGGGGAUAAAGCGGGCGACGUGUCGCCCUUUGCAGGUACCGCAUGAAUAAGGACCGGCUAAUUCCGUGCCAGCAGCCGCGGUAAUACGGAAGGUCCGGGCGUUAUCCGGAUUUAUUGGGUUUAAAGGGAGCGCAGGCCGGGUAUUAAGCGUGUUGUGAAAUGUAGGCGCCCAACGUCUGCACCGCAGCGCGAACUGGUGCCCUUGAGUACGCACGACGUUGGCGGAAUUCGCCGUGUAGCGGUGAAAUGCUUAGAUAUGGCGAAGAACUCCGAUUGCGAAGGCAGCUGACGGGAGCGCUACUGACGCUCAUGCUCGAAAGCGCGGGUAUCGAACAGGAUUAGAUACCCUGGUAGUCCGCGCGGUAAACGAUGGAUGCCCGCUAUUUGCGCAUUAGCGCAAGUGGCCAAGUGAAAACGUUAAGCAUCCCACCUGGGGAGUACGCCGGCAACGGUGCAACA
RNAcentral lists this ribosomal RNA (908 nucleotides) under uncultured Bacteroidota bacterium. RNAcentral describes it as "bacterial SSU rRNA". It matches the Rfam family "Bacterial small subunit ribosomal RNA", at positions 1 to 901 of the family's 1533-position model. The record is from RNAcentral. Lineage: Bacteria; Pseudomonadati; Bacteroidota.